This is a long non-coding RNA of Cyprinus carpio (common carp), 504 nucleotides long. Lineage: Eukaryota; Metazoa; Chordata; Actinopteri; Cypriniformes; Cyprinidae. The record is from Ensembl.
AUGGCGGUGGAGAAUAUCUGGUUCUUCUGUCUACUUUCUCUCGGUUACUGUGGAUUAUCCGUGCAAGAGAAGCCCAUAUCCGUGGAGCUGAGCUGUGGUGCUGGUCCUGUCCAUGUGGUUCUGGAGCCUGAUCACCCUUUGCUGCUGGAAUGCCACCUGGGGGCCAGUGAGUCCCCCCUCAACGUGACCUGGCUGCGGGAUGGGGUGCUUCUCUCAGAAAGCCAGACCAUCCGGCCUUUGUCCAACGGGUCUCUACUCAUCUUGCCCUCUUCCACGGAUGGCCAGGCUCCAGUGGGUGUGGAGGGCGGAUACAGUUGCCUAAGUACCAGCUCGACAGGAGCGCUGACCAGCCGGGCUCUCACCCUGCAUCUCGCCAGUAGUAAUGAUGCCUGCCAUCUCUGCUGUAGACACUGAUGGACACUGCAGUUUUAAUGUAAGAGAGAGCGUGUCAUGUUAGUCUAACAUGAAAAUAAAAAAAAACUGAUAUAAGAAUAGAAAAAUAAC